CGCAUAUACUCUUGCUACAUAAGUAGAGUAGAGGAAAGGAGCAAUCCGCUUUACGAUGAGCCUGCGGCCUAUUAGCCUGUUGGUGGGGUAACGGCCUACCAAAGCUACGAUAGGUAGCCGACCUGAGAGGGUGACCGGCCACAUUGGGACUGAGAUACGGCCCAGACUCCUACGGGAGGCAGCAGCUGAGAAUCUUCCACAAUGGACGAAAGUCUGAUGGAGCGACAUCGCGUGAGGGAUGAAGGCCUUCGGGUUGUAAACCUCGGAAAUUAUCGAAGAAUGAGUGACAGUAGAUAAUGUAAGCCUCGGCUAACUACGUGCCAGCAGCCGCGGUAAUACGUAGGAGGCAAACGUUGCUCGGAUUUACUGGGCGUAAAGGGUGAGUAGGCGGACUUAUAAGUCUAAGGUGAAAGACCGAAGCUCAACUUCGGAAACGCCUCGGAUACUGUAAGUCUUGGAUAUUGUAGGGGAUGAUGGAAUUCUCGGUGUAGCGGUGGAAUGCGCAGAUAUCGAGAGGAACACCUAUAGCGAAGGCAGUCAUCUGGGCAUUUAUCGACGCUGAAUCACGAAAGCUAGGGGAGCAAACAGGCUUAGAUACCCUGGUAGUCCUAGCCGUAAACGUUGUACACUAGGUGCUUCUAUUUAAAUAGGAGUGCCGUAGCUAACGUCUUAAGUGUACCGCCUGAGGAGUAUGCCCGCAAGGGUGAAACUCAAAGAAAUUGACGGGUCCCCGCACAAGUGGUGGAGCAUGUGGUUUAAUUCGAUGAUACGCGAAAAACCUUACCUGGGUUUGAAUUGUAAGAUGAAUGAUUUAGAGAUAAGUCAGACCGCAAGGACGUUUUACAUAGGUGCUGCAUGGCUGUCGUCAGCUCGUGUCGUGAGAUGUUGGGUUAAGUCCCGCAACGAGCGCAACCCUCACCCUUUGUUGCUACCGAGUAAUGUCGGGCACUCUUAGGGGACUGCCUACGUUCAAGUAGGAGGAAGGUGGGGAUGAUGUCAAGUCCUCAUGGCCCUUAUGUCCAGGGCUACACACGUGCUACAAUGGCAAGUACAAAGAGAAGCAAGACCGCGAGGUGGAGCAAAACUCAAAAAAGUUGCCUCAGUUCGGAUUGGAGUCUGAAACUCGACUCCAUGAAGUUGGAAUCACUAGUAAUCGUAGAUCAGAACGCUACGGUGAAUACG
Molecule: ribosomal RNA, 1182 nt
Filed under: Brachyspira hyodysenteriae
Lineage: Bacteria; Pseudomonadati; Spirochaetota; Spirochaetia; Brachyspirales; Brachyspiraceae
Also listed under: 1 other name
Description: bacterial SSU rRNA
Rfam family: Bacterial small subunit ribosomal RNA
Source: RNAcentral